Molecule: ribosomal RNA, 273 nt
Filed under: uncultured bacterium
Lineage: Bacteria
Description: partial 16S ribosomal RNA
Rfam family: Bacterial small subunit ribosomal RNA
Source: RNAcentral
UACGAAGGGUGCAAGCGUUAAUCGGCAUUACUGGGCGUAACGCGCGCGUAGGUGGUUCGUUAAGUUGGAUGUGCAAGCCCCGGGCUCAACCUGGGAACUGCAUCCAAAACUGGCGAGCUAGAGUAUGGCAGAGGGUGGUGGAAUUUCCUGUGUAGCGGUGAAAUGCGUAGAUAUAGGAAGGAACACCAGUGGCGAAGGCGACCACAUGGGCUAAUAAGGACACGGAGGUGAGAAAGCGGGGGGCGCAAACAGGCUUAGAUAACAGUGUAGUCC